UAACAUGAUGACUUGCAGAAGUAGUAAUGUGGCCUCUGCCAGUAUUUUAGAGUACUGGAGACCACGGGGACACUAACGUAGGUGUGGAGCAGAUAUUGGUUUCUGCUUAGCAUCUAGAAACUGUCUGUACACACUGCAGUAAAGAGAUGACCAAGAGACUCCAUCUCUCUGAAAAGUUGGGCUCCAGUGCUGUGAAUCCCCCAUGCAUGAAGCAAGAUACCAGUACAUGGAGUAUGUUCAGAAGAGCUAAGAGGCUAAACCCUUUCAUAAGGAGUGAGAAAAAUCUGGCUUCCACCACAGACCAUGGAACAUGAUCAGGAACCAUCUCAGUAGAAAAGCCUACUGCCUUCAGUGAGAUUUCCUAUCUUAUAUUCAUAGAAAUAGGUUUGUAUAUCAGACUCUGACCUUCUGGUGUUGGGCAGUAUUCAAAAGCCUGAAGAGGAUAUUUGAGGUAUUAAAGCAGUUUUGAAAGAGAGCAACCCCAAUUUUCUUCCACUUUUGAAUGCCACUGAAGAUGUUUAAGACAGAGUAAUGUUUACAUGUCACAAAUGGAUGUUCCAGGUCUGGGCUCCUAGAAAUAAAAGACUGUAAUGUUGCACUACUUAAGAUUUAUUGACCAUGCACAUGAUCUCAGAGGAUUUUACUUGUUUGAGGGUAACAGUGUGGUACGAUCAGUGAAUGCAAAAUUCAUACUGCAAAGAAGAACUCUAUGUAUAUACAUAUAUAUAUAUAUAUGUUCUGUUUGGUUUAAGUUAAACUUUUAUUGUAGGUUGAUUCUUAAAUUAUAGUUCCCAGAUGGCACCACUCAGAAUUUAUAUCCAGAAGGAUCUUAAUGUUUCCACAACAUUUCCAUCAGCGCUCACUUCUACCCAUUUAUAGAACUUGUCUAUCUCCAUAUGUCAAAGAACAUUUAUAUGUUAGAAACAAUUCUAUGUUAGAAAGAUGAAAUGGAAGAUUCCUUUGUCUAUAAGGGAUAGGAUAAAAAAUUGAUAAAUUGUGAAGAGUCAAGAGAAAGGAUUCUCCUUUCCCAACUGUGACCUCUUCAGAACCAAACUAGAAACCAUGUAUAGGGAGUUUGAUUUGUAUAUUACUGUUUUUCAGCAACUGCACUCUCCAGAUACACAACAGGAACUGGAUGGUUAUUUACAGUGCUAAGGGGAGAAGACUUUCACUUCAUCUAACUUUUGUACUCUAUAAAUUAAGCACGCUAGGUAAUCAGUUAUGUGUGCAACCUCACUAGUGAGUGGAGAGGGACCAGCAAUUAUAGAAAGUGAUUCAUCCCGUUAAUCAUAUGGGAUACUAUAUUAAGAUGAAUCCACUACCAUGUGGCUAUGCAGUUUCUUUCCACAGACCACGGAAGGAGUCUAGAUGGCUAGCUGAGAAUGGAUGCCUAGGAUCCAUAAAUCAUAUCCUAAAGUAUUGGAAAGCCUUUAAAAUCUGUCCUUUGCACAAUCCUGUAGUCCAAGCCAGCACUACAGUGUUGAGCUAUGAGGAAUAUUUGCUACUUCAAUAUCAAUACCCUGCAGCCUUUCCCUUAUACAUACUGUUUCUUCUACAUGUUGUACAUGUUCAGUGAUAAGAACCAGGCCUUCACUGAUUUAUACAAGAAAGUCAGGAAUUAUACAACUUUCUCAUCCAUGAUCUUCAUUCAUUACAGGAUAUGGCAAGACCAGUAACUGAGUAUUUUUACUUGGGAGUAUAGCGAGGCUGUUGCUUGUCCAUGGCACACCUGUCCCUGGGUCAGUUUUCCAACAUAUGAGUAUACUAUAGUUACGAUCCAUUUCAAAGCUGUGCUUUAUGAAUUUCUUGAUAACAGAGACAGAUUCACCUGCCAAAUACACUCCCAGAAUCCAGAGACAUUCUAAGGUACUAGGCCUGCUAGAUGACACUCUGUUCUGUCUUUAGAAGUUGCAAAAACAUCCCAAAGUCAUCUUAAACAUAACGGUUAUUGUCAUCUGUCGCCUUUGGUUUUAUGUCCUUAAUGGUGAAAUACUGGCUCUUGACUUCUCCUGUUUCCAUGAAAGUGAAAAUGGUGCCACUUCAGUGAUCACCAUACUUUUGUAUUUCUCAAUUUGCAAGCUCAGAAAUAAAAAUGAAUAGAACUGUGUUUCUUGGUCAUAAGACUUUGUAGAUUUUUUCCUUAUGCCAAAGAACAAUAAAUCACAAAACACUAUGGCCCAAAAUAGUCAACUUCUGGACAGCUGAGGCAAUCACUUCUCAUUUGAUAAACCUAAAAUAAAAUAUCAGUGCAGUCUGUUCUGGUACUAGCAUGAAGAUCUCUUACUGCAGUGAGUGCCCUGAUCACCAGGCAACUGAGCACGUGUGAUCUCUGUCUCACACUUGAUCAGCAAUUCUAUCCUGGCUUUUGUGAAAAAUUUUGCUUAAGUCAGACAUUCCUGUGUAAAGAAUCGGUGUCAGGAAGCAGAUAGUUUCUAAAAUAAAUAAAGAAAAACAACUUGUUUUGUCAGACAGAUUUUUUGACAGUUCUAUUAGAGUAAGG
RNAcentral lists this long non-coding RNA (2500 nucleotides) under Gallus gallus (chicken). Lineage: Eukaryota; Metazoa; Chordata; Aves; Galliformes; Phasianidae. The record is from RNAcentral.